Molecule: ribosomal RNA, 486 nt
Filed under: Clostridioides difficile
Lineage: Bacteria; Bacillati; Bacillota; Clostridia; Peptostreptococcales; Peptostreptococcaceae
Description: bacterial LSU rRNA
Rfam family: Bacterial large subunit ribosomal RNA
Source: RNAcentral
UCUGGUCUUGGGACACUGUCAGGUGGGCAGUUUGACUGGGGAGGUCGCCUCCCAGAAGGUAACGGAGGCGCUCAAAGGUUCUCUCAGUACGGUCGGAAAUCGUACGUAGAGUGUAAAGGCAAAAGAGAGCUUGAUUGCAAGACAUACAGGUCGAGCAAGGAUGAAAAUCGGACUUAGUGAUCCGGUGGUUCUGCGUGGAAGGGCCAUCGCUCAACGGAUAAAAGCUACCCUGGGGAUAACAGGCUUAUCUCCCCCAAGAGUCCACAUCGACGGGGAGGUUUGGCACCUCGAUGUCGGCUCAUCACAUCCUGGGGCGGUAGUAGGUCCCAAGGGUUGGGCUGUUCUCCCAUUAACGUGGUCAGCGAGCUGGGUUCAGAACGGGCUGAGACAGCUCGGUCCCUAUCCGUCGCAGGCGUAGGAAAUUUGAGAAGACCUGUCCUUAGUACGAGAGGACCGGGAUGGACGUACCUCUGGUGUACCAGUUGU